Molecule: long non-coding RNA, 1428 nt
Organism: Melanotaenia boesemani (Boeseman's rainbowfish)
Lineage: Eukaryota; Metazoa; Chordata; Actinopteri; Atheriniformes; Melanotaeniidae
Exons: 3
Source: RefSeq, a predicted model, not a curated record
CUUUCUGCCGAGGAGUUCUCCGAAAUUUUCUCUUCCUGCUCCCCUUCGUCUUUGAAGGAAAUCAUUUCAUCGUUUGCACCCAGAUCGUCCCCUCCACCGCCGUUGAGCUGCGGCAUUUUUCCCGACGUUGUCAAACAGCACUGAUGGGGGAAUUAUGUGCACGGUGCAGCACCAAAGUGCUGCGAGUCUGCCUACCAACACACCCCAGACCAGGCAACACCAUGAAAGCAGACGAUUGCGCUCAGUGAUCACUGAUGAGCUUUAUCUGGAUGAGGCAGCCGAUGGAAGAAGAGGCACCCUGCUGCUCGGGAGCCCUCCAAACCCGAGCCUGCACAGACCAGACCAAAGCAGAGGAGGUCCAAGCUGGCCUCUCCCUGGAUUGCCUCAGCAGGUACCUGAGAGUCUACUGGGGGCUGGUAGUGUGUUAUCACGCAUGCAGUGGACUCACCUGCCUCUGAUGCUGCCCUGGUGAUUCUAAUCUACAGGACUCUUUAAUAUCAUGAUGAUAGGCUGUGCUGCUGCCACUGCUGUGGAUGAAGGAGCAGAAGUGUGCCCUGUCUUUUUGUUGGUGCUAUUCAUAUUUGUUACAGGUUUUGCAUGUUCACCUCUCCUUCUUGUGGUUGUGGUUUUGUAACAACUGGAGAUUGUCCCCCAUUCAAACACUCCCCGACCACCUUCAUCUCUAAGCGUAGAGGAAACCAGAAGCAUCACACAACCUCAGCUUCAGGCCAGAUUAUCACGUUUGAGCUGCCACUUCCUGUCUCAGCAGCAAUCAAAUCUAAGUUAAAAUGCAAAACAGAAGCACCUUAACCUAACAGAAAGCUUUAAUGUUAUUUUUAUAUCAUGCUCAUCAUAUCUUUCCUUUCAUCUUGGUCCUGUAUAUGCAUUUCUAAGUAGGGCAGAAAAAAUAUAAUACAAACUUUGCCUUUAAAUAUAUCUACCAAUAUCUAAAAUUUUGUUGGUAUACAGGAUAAAAAAAAAUAGCUUUAAUUGUGUUUUGGCUUUCAAGGAUUCUGGGGUUAUGAUUUUUGUUAAUGUUGAAGAUCUAAUUAGUUAAAUCGCAAUCAAAACACUGGAUAUGUCUAGGGAAUAGGUCUUCAAUGAAGAUGGGGUGCUAAUAAAUAUCAGUAAUUAUCUCAUAAUACCUCUAAAUCCCCACCACGUAUAGUACGUUUAAUGUUUGUGGGGGAAAAUAACAGAAACAGUAUCUGUACAAUUUAAUUAACAUAUGUUUAGUCUGCACCAGCUCACAGCCAUCUUUUUAGAUCAAUAUUUUUAACACAUUUUCAUAUAACCAUAUUGCUCUUUUUGUCUCAGUCUUCAGAAAUAAAAGCAAAACCACUAAAUCCUGCCUGAACUCUCAAAGACACAGACUUGAGAAAUGUUUAUCCAAAACACUAAACUACAAAAAGAAAUGUAUGAGAUUUC